Molecule: ribosomal RNA, 301 nt
Filed under: uncultured bacterium
Lineage: Bacteria
Description: partial 16S ribosomal RNA
Rfam family: Bacterial small subunit ribosomal RNA
Source: RNAcentral
CAGUCGCCGCGGUAAUACAGAGGGUGCAAGCGUUAAUCGGAAUUACUGGGCGUAAAGCGCGCGUAGGUGGUUUGUUAAGUUGAAUGUGAAAUCCCCGGGCUCAACCUGGGAACUGCAUCCAAAACUGGCAAGCUAGAGUAGGGCAGAGGGUGGUGGAAUUUCCUGUGUAGCGGUGAAAUGCGUAGAUAUAGGAAGGAACACCAGUGGCGAAGGCGACCACCUGGGCUCAUACUGACACUGAGGUGCGAAAGCGUGGGGAGCAAACAGGAUUAGAUACCCCCGUAGUCCCUGUCUCUUAUAC